Molecule: non-coding RNA, 2556 nt
Organism: Oryctolagus cuniculus (rabbit)
Lineage: Eukaryota; Metazoa; Chordata; Mammalia; Lagomorpha; Leporidae
Source: RefSeq, a predicted model, not a curated record
GACCUUUCUCUUUGUCUCUCUCUCUCACUGUCUAACUCUGCCUGUCAAAAACAAACAAACAAACAAACAAACAAAAAACCCAAAAAACAAAAAACUGUGGUUCCCUACAAAUGGAAAUAAUAAAAUACUUGCUGGAUCAGUUUGAUUUUCUCGUCUGGGACAGGAAAAUCGCUAGGCUUGGAUGGCAGCAGAGGGCUGGGAAACCAGGGAGGAAGGGGCAAUGGCGAAUUGGGGCCGCUUCCUGCCUCUCUAGGUAUUGUCCGAGACCAGGUGUAGAUGGGAGGCAAUAAGCCAAGGGCCAGCAGCCACAAGGCCACGCCCCCUCAUCAGCCUCGCCCACUCCCCAUCCUGCCCUGGUCCAGAGUGCUGUGCGCCACCGGAUGUUCCCAGAGUCCUCUUAGCCCCUCAGGUGGGCAGGCCGGAAGGAGAUGCUAACUGUCCUUGAAGGGCUGUCUGGGGAGCGCUGGGGCCAACUCCACCUCCACUGCCGCCGAGGUCAGAGGUCAAAAGGGCGGCUCAGCUGAGAAGCGGCAGCAGGACUCAGGGGAGGGGGCGCCAGGCGCUCGGGAGCCUCCCCGCAGAGUGCCGGCUGAGCUCGUCCUGGCUGGCCGGGCCAGGCCUGCGGAAAGGGGAGAAACAGCCUGAUCUCGGCAAUUGACGGGGAACGCCUGAAGCUGACCAGCGCGGGCUGACAAGGGGAGCUCGCACGGGAAACGGCAGAGUGGACAGUGAGAGAGACAGAGAGAAAGGUCUUCCUUUUGCUGUUGGUUCACCCUCCAAUGGCUGCCGCAGCUGGCGCACCGCGCUGAUCCGAAGCCAAGAGCCAGGUUGGCUCCUGCCAGGCAACCUAUGAACUAGAUGGCAGUCUUUGCUCCACUGGAAAGAUGAGGAAGCAGAGGUAUAGGACCCUGAACACAUCAGCACCAGCGCUCACGAGUUAGAGAAAAUGUUGUGCUCACAUACAUGAGGCAUUUCAUGACUCCAGCUAUAAGCCUCAAUCUUCUGAACGAGACACUAUUAUGUUUUGAGGGUUAUUCAAGCUAAUUCAGACAAGGUCAUGGUCAAAAAGAAAAGACACGAAAUACCACUUACCAGCCAUUUGCUGAAUGCCACUGAACGCACCCAGGUUGCUGGAGGAGGUGGCCUGCUGCAGGAGCUGGGAAGGAAAUGCAGAAGUGGAAAAUCAGAGUGUGGACCCGAGAACAAAUGAAGGCUCAUACAACAGGCUUGAGAGGUUAAGCUGCCACUGUAGAACCAUCUGGGUAAACUGAAGUUGCUUCAAAGCAUCUCCAAACUACAUUUUCCAAGCGGUAAAAAUUAUCAGAAGGGGACGCUGUCCCCACAGGGAGAAGUGCACACUUGCAGAUGGGCAUCUUGCUUCCAGUGAAGAAGAGUCCCCAUGUUUGUUGAGAAGCUUCAUGUGCUUGGCGGGUUCUAGGUGCUUUCCAUGUAGAUUCACGACAGUUUCCCCAGAGUGGCUGUUCUGGAACAGUGGCUGGUGCUGAGUAAGUGAUCACCUGUGAAGCAGUGAAGACCUGGUAGUGCUGGCCCAGCAUCUGAACUGUAGAAGCACCAGACGCCCUGGCAAGGCCAACCCCCUGUGCUGAAACGUGAUAGUCCUCCAACAUUAGGAUCCCUGCAGGCUCCCUGGGAGGCCUGGACUCCUUCACACAUGAGGAUCUGGGUCUGGCAGGCCCUGUGGGACUGCAGCAUUCCCGUGAACAGCAAAAGGGAAAGGGGCAGAAGUGACUGGAAUGGCACAGGGUAGGGAGGAGGAAACUUCUAGUUGCAUUUCUUCCUCGUUCCCUCCCAUCUCUGGGAUGCCUAUCUCAGGAACUUUGGCUGUCACAUCUUUGAGAGUAAAAAUUUUCCUGUUGUUUAGAAUUUGAUUCUAGUUCUUUUAAACAAAAACAAAUUAAAAGAUCCCCACGUGGUCCUCGGUUUCCCUGGUAAACCUGUAAUCAGGGUGGUUAGCUAAAAUAAUUGGCAGGCUUUGAGCUCCAGCCUGAUGCAGCAGUAAAUUAAACAUGCAGCUUUUGAAUAAAGCUAAAAAUUUUUUCUGAGAUGAAUAUCAAGUGCAUGGAAACCGCUUACGAAGAGAUCCUGACUGCUUACCCGUCACUUAAGGUCAAUUUGGCCAGGCAGAAGGAAGGAAUAGAACUUUCUCUUUUAAAAAUAACAAGUAUUAACUAAGAAAAAAAUGGAAACCCACAUCAUCCAUAUGCUAUUCAAAAUGUUGAUUUACUUCCCUGUGUGUGUGGGCUUGCAUGUACUCACAUGCAUAAAGCAAGCUGGACAGUAGCAAUCUUCUGUGGUUCUAACAGUUGGACCAUACUUCCUUUAAUGACAAAAUGAAGAUGAUAGCCACCUUUCUCUCCCUUGAGUCUGCCAGUGAAAACUUUAAAUUCACAAGAUUAUUCCCAGGAUUCCCAUUUUAUGAAUCCCUACAGCUUUGUAAACAUUUUAAGUAACAUAAUUACCUUGAAUUUCUUUUCCCCCAAAACUGAAGAAUUUUUCCCCCAAAUAUUCAAAGGCUGUAUAUCACUUCUUCUCUCA